RNAcentral lists this ribosomal RNA (460 nucleotides) under uncultured bacterium. RNAcentral's name for it is "partial 16S ribosomal RNA". It matches the Rfam family "Bacterial small subunit ribosomal RNA", at positions 338 to 795 of the family's 1533-position model. The record is from RNAcentral.
CCUACGGGAGGCAGCAGUGAGGAAUAUUGGUCAAUGGGCGAGAGCCUGAACCAGCCAAGUCGCGUGAAGGAUGAAGGCCCUACGGGUUGUAAACUUCCUUUGUCGGGGAGCACUUUGGUCCACCCGUUGGCUUCUCGAGAGUCCCUGCAGGCAAAGCAUCGGCUAACUCCGUGCCAGCAGCCCCGGUAAUACGGAGGAUGCGAGCGUUCUCCGGAUUUAAUGGGUUAAAAGGGUGCGGAGGCGGAAUAUCAAGUCAGCGGUAAAAAUUCGGGGCUCAACCCCGUCGUGCCGUUGAAACUGAUGUGCUGGAGUGGGUGAGAAGUAGGCGGAAUGCGUGGUGUAGCGGUGAAAUGCAUAGAUAUCACGCAGAACUCCGAUUGCGAAGGCAGCAUACCGGCGCACAACUGACGCUGAAGCACGAAAGCGUGGGUAUCGAACAGGAUUAGAUACCCUUGUAGUC